Molecule: long non-coding RNA, 2336 nt
Organism: Cercocebus atys (sooty mangabey)
Lineage: Eukaryota; Metazoa; Chordata; Mammalia; Primates; Cercopithecidae
Exons: 4
Source: RefSeq, a predicted model, not a curated record
GACAGAGCAGAGCUGAAUCACUACCUUUCCCGCAUACUCUAAACUGUUGCCUGCGAAAGAGGAACUGGGGACUUAGACUAAUUCAGGCUGCUUUCAUUCAAAUGUUCCAGAGGGCACACACACAUCCAAACAGACUUCUCUUUGCUUUUCAGAGCUUAUAAGGAGCAGGCAUCUGAAGCUGCACUCUGAAGCUCUGUUCCAGGGAUGUUCCUGAACAACUUACCUGUUGGUGAAAGCUUCAAAAGGGAUACUUAAGUGACCCAUCCUAUUCAUACUGUGGGCCAGGAGAGAGAUGUGUGAAGAUAGAAGAAACUGGUCAAACAAAAAUAUGGAAGCAGGGAAGUAGGAAAAUCAAUUUCUGUUGGAGAAUCUGAAGAGCCAAAUCUCCUGAGCCUGGGCCUACUGCUGUCAGCGUCUCUGAGACCUCUCUUACCUGAGAAUUACCAGGUCUCACAACACUUUCCGUCCAGCCUACAGUGAGGGAUGUCAACAAAGCUACAGAAAACUCACAUUUUCUAGACUUACAAGCUGUGCAGCUGGGCAGGAACCUUAUAAUCUCCAUCCUUAGGGAAGGUUCAGAAAUAUAGACAAACGGGAGGAAAACUCAGAUAUGCUGAGCCUGAUAUAUACAAAAGCCUUCAGAUAGUUUCCUCAAGGAAGAGCCCAAUUAGGUCCACAUAAUUAGUCCACACAUCUAGAUUAGGUAUAGGCAAAACGAGCCCUUUAUCCAUCUACCAAAACAGAGCAAAAGACUGACAUAAUACUAUAAAAGAUUCUUGUUCUAAUAACAGUAUUAUAAAGCAGUUUCAGCCAUAUUUAUUUUAAUCAGUAUAAAAGUAGGAGUGUGGAAAAUAAAGCAUUACUUAUAUUUUUGAAAAUUGAUUAAGAAGCUCUGAUAAAACCUAUUGGAGGGGUGAUUGCUGUGCUGAAGGAUAGAGAGGGUGUCUCAAUUGUCAAAUCAUAGCAUCACCAUUUUCUGCUUGUGUGCUAUUACCUUAGCUCUGAGAGUGAUUUGUUUUUACCGGAUUGUUAGAACACGUCCAAUAGAUUUAGAGACAGUCUAAGUGACUGUGAAAUGCCUCAAGGGCAAUAGAAAUCAAAGAGAAACACAUACCAACUCAAGUCUUGAGUGAUGAUGGAGGCGCAUUUUAAAUACCAUGGAAAUCUCACUGGGCGUGCCCAUUUUCCCACUCUGGCAACAGAGGUUGAUACUUCUUCAGACAAGUAUUCCAACCUGUACAUGUAUGUGGGCUUAUUCCUGAGCCUCCUGGCCAUUCUCCUCAUCCUGCUCUUCACAAUGCUCCUUCGGCUCAAACAUGUCAUCUCGCCCAUCAACUCGGACAGCACAGAAAGUGUUCCUCAGUUCACAGAUGUAGAGAUGCAGAGUCGAAUCCCCACUCCUUAAAGCCAGGAUGAAGGUGAGCUUUAGUGGAUCUGGGUAAACCCUUAUAUAUAGAUGUCCAGGAGAGCUUGCUUUCUUACAUGAAGCUUCCCAUGUAGGGAAUCCACAAGUUGUUCAUUUAACAACAAGCUGUUCAUGUUUUCUUUGUGUUAUUCUUCAUCUUUACUCUGCUUGUGGACUAUCUAAAACGUUUAAGACUCACUCUGAAAGGAAUAUAGGAAAUGACAGCUGGUUGGGAGGGCUGGUUUCCAUAGUAACCAAACAGUGCAUGGGCCUUGCACAAACCUCAGACCACAGAAAUUCAUACGCAGUGGUUGUAAGAAACACAGGGUCCCUGGAAGCUCCAAAAACAAAGAAGAUUUGCUUUUGAAAGGGUUGAUCCUUCAAAGAGGAUAUCCCAAGAAAAGGACAAGUUCUAAUUUAGUGUUUUGAUCCUAAAGAAUCACCUCUACACGAAGUUAAAUUAUGUCAGAAGUUAAUGGAAGGGACCACGAGUCCUUUCCCUAAACAGCAGUGAUUUGAUCAUCUUAGGCAAUUCGGUUUGUUUCAAAUGAAAGAAGAGAUUUAAAGAAAGUGUUUCAGUUUAAAGAGUAAGUUUUCAGAAAGAAGUUUCUAGUAAACAAACUCAUCUAGAGAGAGAAAAAUGUGCAUAUUAUAACUAUGUUAAUUCUAUUCAUGCAGCUUCUUUGUCUUUUUCUUUCUCCCUAUCACACUCUAGGAUAGAGUUGCACACAAAUAUGAGCUUUGUUUAAAAGGUGCCUUUGCAAACAAGACUCAACUGUACUUUAGAGCAGAAAUGAAAUGAUUUUGGUAUUCUGUUGUUGAGUGUGGCUUUGGACAAAACAUUCAAGCCUUCUGAGUCCCAGGGUUUUUGUGCUGAAAAAUGGUUAGAGAGCUAUUUAGUCAUCACUAUACUCUUUAGAUCUGAGUAUUU